RNAcentral lists this ribosomal RNA (522 nucleotides) under uncultured Glomeraceae. Its description in RNAcentral is "SSU rRNA". It matches the Rfam family "Eukaryotic small subunit ribosomal RNA", at positions 569 to 1092 of the family's 1831-position model. The record is from RNAcentral. Lineage: Eukaryota; Fungi; Glomeromycota; Glomeromycetes; Glomerales; Glomeraceae.
AGCAGCCGCGGUAAUUCCAGCUCCAAUAGCGUAUAUUAAAGUUGUUGCAGUUAAAAAGCUCGUAGUUGAACCUCGGGAUCAAUGGAUCGGUCAUGCCAUCGGUAUGUACUGGUCUCAUUGGUUCUCACCUUCUAAGGAACCAUGAUGUCAUUCAGUUGAUGUUGUGGGGAAUUAGGACUGUUACCUUGAAAAAAUUAGAGUGUUUAAAGCAGGCUAACGCUUGAAUACAUUAGCAUGGAAUAAUGAAAUAGGACAUCGCAUUCUAUUUUGUUGGUUUCUAGGAUCGAUGUAAUGAUUAAUAGGGAUAGUUGGGGGCAUUAGUAUUCAAUUGUCAGAGGUGAAAUUCUUGGAUUUAUUGAAGACUAACUACUGCGAAAGCAUUUGCCAAGGAUGUUUUCAUUAAUCAAGAACGAAAGUUAGGGGAUCGAAGACGAUCAGAUACCGUCGUAGUCUUAACCAUAAACUAUGCCGACUAGGGAUCGGAUGAUGUUGAUUUUUUAAUGACUCAUUCGGCACCUUACG